RNAcentral lists this ribosomal RNA (472 nucleotides) under uncultured bacterium. RNAcentral's name for it is "bacterial SSU rRNA". It matches the Rfam family "Bacterial small subunit ribosomal RNA", at positions 28 to 507 of the family's 1533-position model. The record is from RNAcentral.
GUUAACCGUUGGCGGCGUGCCUAACACAUGCAAGUCGAACGCGUCCUAAGGGCAACUUUAGGAUGAGUGGCGAACGGGUGAGUAUCACGUGGGUAAUCUUCCUUUAAGUGGGGAAUAAGCUCUCGAAAGGGAGUCUAAUACCGCAUGACAUUCCGGGACACAAGUCCCGUAAUCAAAGCCGCAAGGCGCUUGAAGAUGAGCCUGCGUCCUAUUAGCUAGUUGGUGGGGUAACGGCCUACCAAGGCUCAGAUGGGUAGCCGGCCUGAGAGGGUGAACGGCCACACUGGGACUGAGACACGGCCCAGACUCCUACGGGAGGCAGCAGUGAGGAAUUUUGCGCAAUGGGGGAAACCCUGACGCAGCGACGCCGCGUGGAGGAUGAAGGCCUUCGGGUCGUAAACUCCUGUCAGAGGUGAAGAAUGCCCGCAAGGGUUUGACGGUAACCUCAGAGGAAGCCCCGGCUAACUACGUG